GACGAACGCUGGCGGCAUGCCUAACACAUGCAAGUCGAACGGAGAUUAUUUCGGUAAUCUUAGUGGCGAACGGGUGAGUAACGCGUGGGCAACCUGCCCUCUAGAUGGGGACAACAUCCCGAAAGGGGUGCUAAUACCGAAUGUGACAGCAAUCUCGCAUGAGGAUGCUGUGAAAGAUGGCCUCUAUUUAUAAGCUAUCGCUAGAGGAUGGGCCUGCGUCUGAUUAGCUAGUUGGUGGGGUAACGGCCUACCAAGGCGAUGAUCAGUAGCCGGUCUGAGAGGAUGAACGGCCACAUUGGGACUGAGACACGGCCCAGACUCCUACGGGAGGCAGCAGUGGGGAAUCUUCCGCAAUGGGCGAAAGCCUGACGGAACAAUGCCGCGUGAGUGAUGAAGGAAUUCGUUCCGUAAAGCUCUUUUGUUUAUGACGAAUGUGCAGAUUGUGAACAAUGAUCUGUAAUGACGGUAGUAAACGAAUAAGCCACGGCUAACUACGUG
This 498-nucleotide ribosomal RNA is filed under the name uncultured bacterium. Its description in RNAcentral is "partial 16S ribosomal RNA". It matches the Rfam family "Bacterial small subunit ribosomal RNA", at positions 28 to 507 of the family's 1533-position model. The record is from RNAcentral.